CUGUCUAUCUUCAUACUGUAGUGUCUGUCUGUCUUCAUACUGUCUUGUCUGUGACGGUGGUCUGCAUUUAGAAGAUCACCCUGCUGAGACCUUAAAGAUGUUCUCCACAGGAAUAACUCCUGUUGAGAAGUAGAAACACACUAAAGGGUUUUAACAAAAGACUGUAAACUUCCAGGAGUUGGUCUGAUGUGGGUUCGUGAUGUCAUCAGCCUCCAUCUUUGUUGAGGAACAGUGGAGAACAUAAUAAUAUGACCACCUAUUGAGAAGUGCCUGUUAUGAAGUAAAUCAGCUGUUAAAGGAGACUUAACAUAGACUGGUAGUACUGUAAGGCAGUGACAGUAGAUCAUUGGCUUCAAGAGGCUUUGUAGAGGAUAUCGGGCAGAGUGAGAUUGGGUCAGAAUACUGUUGAAACGGUUUCCUUUACCCUGAAAGUGACUUCUGAGCUCAUCAUACACUGGGUCCCUUGGGUCUGUCUCUCAGGUGUAGAUGGCAUGCCUUGGAGCAGGGGAGAGGAUCUCUCUCCCUCUCCCUCUGUCUCUCUAUCUCUCUCCCUCUGUCUCUCUGUCUCUCUCUGUCUCUCUAUCUCUCUCCCUCUGUCUCUCUGUCUCUCUCGGUCUCCCUCUGUCUCUCUCUGUCUCUCUCUUUGUCUCUCUCCCUCUCUCUCUCUGUCUCUGUCUCUCUCGGUCUCUCUCUCUGUCUCCCUCUGUCUCUCUCGGUCUCUCUCUGUCUCUCUGUCUCUCUCUCUCUGUCUCUCUCCCUUUCUCUCUCUCCCCCUCUCUCUCUCUCUCUCUCUCUCUCUCUGAGUAGAUGGCGUCCAUUGGAGCAGGCCUGCCCUGGGGGGCUGCUUGUUCCCUGUGCGGGGUUGUGUCCUGCCUGUGCGGGGUUGUGUCCUCAGGGUUGACCACCCUCCGGUCCUGGGCAGAGGGGAGCCUGGAGGAUACUUCACCCAGAGCCUCAUCUACACAGCCAGCCCUCCACACACAGGUUACGGAGUCGACAAAGAGCAGAAUGUGAGAGUAGAUGUCAAGAG
RNAcentral lists this long non-coding RNA (1030 nucleotides) under Salmo salar (Atlantic salmon). RNAcentral's name for it is "lncRNA (ENSSSAG00000100692.1)". Lineage: Eukaryota; Metazoa; Chordata; Actinopteri; Salmoniformes; Salmonidae. The record is from RNAcentral.